This 422-nucleotide ribosomal RNA is filed under the name uncultured bacterium. RNAcentral's name for it is "bacterial SSU rRNA". It matches the Rfam family "Bacterial small subunit ribosomal RNA", at positions 88 to 509 of the family's 1533-position model. The record is from RNAcentral.
UCGGCGACCGGCGCACGGGUGCGUAACGCGUGUUCAACCUGCCUCAUACCCGGGAACAGCCCAUCGAAAGAUGGAUUAAUGCCCGAUGUUGUCCCCUGCGCCUCCUGGCGCUCGGACCAAAGAUUCAUCGGUAUGGGAUGGGAACGCGUCCGAUUAGCUAGACGGCGGGGUAACGGCCCACCGUGGCGACGAUCGGUAGGGGUUCUGAGAGAAGGUCCCCACACUGGAACUGAGACACGGUCCAGACUCCUACGGGAGGCAGCAGUGAGGAAUAUUGGUCAAUGGUCGCAAGACUGAACCAGCCAAGUAGCGUGAAGGAUGACUGCCCUAUGGGUUGUAAACUUCUUUUGCAGGGGAAUAACCGGCGCCACGGGUGGCGUCCUGCAUGUACCCUGCGAAUAAGCAUCGGCUAAUUCCGUGCC